RNAcentral lists this ribosomal RNA (468 nucleotides) under uncultured bacterium. RNAcentral describes it as "partial 16S ribosomal RNA". It matches the Rfam family "Bacterial small subunit ribosomal RNA", at positions 28 to 507 of the family's 1533-position model. The record is from RNAcentral.
GACGAACGCUGGCGGCGUGCUUAACACAUGCAAGUCGAACGGAAAGGCCCUGCUUUUGUGGGGUGCUCGAGUGGCGAACGGGUGAGUAACACGUGAGUAACCUGCCCUUGACUUUGGGAUAACUUCAGGAAACUGGGGCUAAUACCGGAUAUGAGCUCCUGCUGCAUGUUGGGGGUUGGAAAGUUUCGGCGGUUGGGGAUGGACUCGCGGCUUAUCAGCUUGUUGGUGGGGUAGUGGCUUACCAAGGCUUUGACGGGUAGCCGGCCUGAGAGGGUGACCGGCCACAUUGGGACUGAGAUACGGCCCAGACUGCUACGGGAGGCAGCAGUGGGGAAUAUUGCACAAUGGGCGGAAGCCUGAUGCAGCAACGCCGCGUGCGGGAUGACGGCCUUCGGGUUGUAAACCGCUUUCGCCGGUGACGAAGCGUGAGUGACGGUAAUGGGUAAAGAAGCACCGGCUAACUACGUG